Molecule: non-coding RNA, 1108 nt
Organism: Xyrichtys novacula (pearly razorfish)
Lineage: Eukaryota; Metazoa; Chordata; Actinopteri; Labriformes; Labridae
Source: the annotation of a GenBank genome assembly
GGGUCAUCGAUGACCCUGAUGAAGACCACAAACUGAAACGUGCCGCUUUCCCGAAACUACAAGUAUCGCUGGAGCUCGUUUGACCUCUUUCAGAUCCUUUUUCUCCAAGAACCUUGAAAGUUGGUGAAGUUGAGUCAGAGUUUUUGUCUUCUAAAUUUUCUCGGUUUCAAAUUCUCAGCUGGCUGUAAUACGUAGUUUGACCACCAGAUGGCAGAAGUCACUUAUUAUUCAAAUGAAACCAGAAGAAGCCAAAAUUUCUCCUCAACAGGAAAGAACUCUUUUUGUUUUAGUUUCUGAGAGCUCAUGUUUGAUUUUUGAUCAUUUUUAUUUGUUAGAGAACAAACAUUUAGAGAUUUGAAGGAACUUUGGAAAGUCAGACAAAAAGGAAAAGUUGAAUUUCAGAGGAUGAAUGUUUGAGUUUAGUUUUUCAUUUUUCUGUCUGUGAUAUUCGGCAGAUUUGCAGCUUUAGUGGGAGGAUUUUUUAUGAAUGAACAAACCGACUCAACGAAUGAAAGAUCAGUCAGCUGUUUGACAAGUUUGGCCUUUGACCUCCUGACUGCAGAGCGGUGUGUGUAAGCAGCAGAUGAUGUUUGUUGGUGAGUAAAGGAAGAAGUCACUGAGAGGAGAUGGAACUUCUAAUCCUCAUCCUUCAUCAGACCAUCUGAGUCAGGUCGUCCAGCUCCUCUGACCCCCUCUGUCCUCCUCUGUCCUCCUCUGUCCUCCUCUGUCCUCCUCUUCUUCACUUCUCCAUCGAAGCUGAGGCGUCUGUUUUGCUCACCUGUGCUCUCCAUGAUCUUUUGUCUCUAUUUCUGUGAUUCUCCUUCAAGAAAAGUGUUUAUUUUUGAGCUGCAGAAAAAAGAGAAAAGUAUAAAUGUUUUCAUCUCCUUAUCUGACCUUCUCCCCUCAUGUAAAGGUCAGAGGUCAGCCCCUACACACCGACCUCCCGUUACACAAACUUCUCCCUCAUACGUGUUCAUCUUCCUGUAACAGGCCCAGAUAACAGCAGAGCUUGUCCUAAUUGGCUAACAGUGCUGAGUGAGCUCACGCCCGUAAGCCUCUUACAGUAAUGCACCUGCUGCUGAGCCCACACCGUGGCCCGCCACCGCCA